GAGGGUACGGCUCAGUGGUAGAGCACGUGCUUAGCAUGCAUGAGGUCCUGGGUUCAAGCCCCAGUAUCUCCA
This 72-nucleotide transfer RNA is filed under the name Camelus bactrianus (Bactrian camel). It matches the Rfam family "tRNA". From Rfam's summary of the family: Transfer RNA (tRNA) molecules are approximately 80 nucleotides in length. Their secondary structure includes four short double-helical elements and three loops (D, anti-codon, and T loops). RNAcentral also lists the same sequence under 2 other names. The record is from Rfam by way of RNAcentral. Lineage: Eukaryota; Metazoa; Chordata; Mammalia; Artiodactyla; Camelidae.